This 433-nucleotide ribosomal RNA is filed under the name uncultured bacterium. RNAcentral's name for it is "partial 16S ribosomal RNA". It matches the Rfam family "Bacterial small subunit ribosomal RNA", at positions 29 to 507 of the family's 1533-position model. The record is from RNAcentral.
AACGAACGCUGGCGGCAGGCCUAACACAUGCAAGUCGAGCGCGCCCUUCGGGGUGAGCGGCGGACGGGUGAGUAACGCGUGGGAACGUGCCCUUCUCUGCGGAAUAGCCUCGGGAAACUGAGAGUAAUACCGCAUACGCCCUUUGGGGGAAAGAUUUAUCGGAGAAGGAUCGGCCCGCGUUGGAUUAGGUAGUUGGUGGGGUAAUGGCCCACCAAGCCGACGAUCCAUAGCUGGUUUGAGAGGAUGAUCAGCCACACUGGGACUGAGACACGGCCCAGACUCCUACGGGAGGCAGCAGUGGGGAAUCUUAGACAAUGGGGGCAACCCUGAUCUAGCCAUUCCGCGUGAGUGAUGAAGGCCUUAGGGUUGUAAAGCUCUUUCAGCUGGGAAGAUAAUGACGGUACCAGCAGAAGAAGCCCCGGCUAACUCCGUG